Molecule: long non-coding RNA, 811 nt
Organism: Dreissena polymorpha
Lineage: Eukaryota; Metazoa; Mollusca; Bivalvia; Myida; Dreissenidae
Exons: 3
Source: RefSeq, a predicted model, not a curated record
UUAUAGUUUUUUUACGAUACAAUCUAUUUAAAUCGUCAAUACGUGCGAAUACAAAACAAGUAAGUCAUAAUUUCUUUUAAAUUUACAUUCGACCACAUCAUCAACAUGAUAGUUAUUUUCCUAACGUCUAAAUAUGCAGCAAAUUAUUAAUGUCCUUUAUUCCUUUUUUGCCAAAAGUAUCAUGUGAGAUAGCAAGCGACUCCACGUGUCAAACUGCAGGAAUCGUCGGUGGAGUUGCAGCUGUUGUUGUUGUUGGAUUUGUUCUGGUCGGAGUACUGGUGUACAUCCGUUCAAGACGAAAUGAACAGCCUCAAUCUUCGGAAUAUGAAACAACCAAUGUGCGUUCAAACGAGGCUACAGACCUACACGUAUAUUCUGGACUCAACGAACCCGGAAAUGAUCAUUCGAACCAGGGAUAUUAUAAUACAUAAGAAGAUAGAAACAUCCCUGUUGGAAAUGACAGAAGCUCUGACUACCCAAACGAUGCCCAUAACAACCAUCAAUGACUGUCAAGAAACAAUUUAUGUAAUUAAUUCGAACUACUCGUGCAGUACUAGAAAUACCGCUACAUUUAACGAAGAUUAUAUUCCAGUCUUAAAAGAACUACAGUUAAAUGUUCAGUAAACUGUAAACGGUUGCCUGGUCGAUAUUAUCAUUAUUUCACAAAAUACAAUUAAAAUCGUUAGAUAGAAGAUUACUCACAUUGUUUUUAUUGCUGUUAGUUGAAUGUAUCAAUUUAGUCAUUUUACCUCAUUGACCAUGCUGCGACGUGUGAACUUCAAAUGUAAAAGGUUAUUACUUAAUUCCAAAU